RNAcentral lists this ribosomal RNA (305 nucleotides) under uncultured bacterium. RNAcentral describes it as "bacterial SSU rRNA". It matches the Rfam family "Bacterial small subunit ribosomal RNA", at positions 336 to 639 of the family's 1533-position model. The record is from RNAcentral.
UUCCUACGGGAGGCAGCAGUGAGGAAUAUUGGUCAAUGGGCGGGAGCCUGAACCAGCCAAGCCGCGUGAGGGAAGAAGGUACAGCGUAUCGUAAACCUCUUUUGUCAGGGAACAAAGGCGGGGACUAGUCCCCGGACGAGGGUACCUGAAGAAAGAGCAUCGGCUAACUCCGUGCCAGCAGCCGCGGUAAUACGGAGGAUGCGAGCGUUAUCCGGAUUUAUUGGGUUUAAAGGGUGCGUAGGCGGAAUGCCAAGUCAGCGGUAAAAUCGCGGGGCUCAACCUCGCUCCGCCGUUGAAACUGGCGU